ACGAACGCUGGCGGCAUGCCUAACACAUGCAAGUCGAACGAGACCUUCGGGUCUAGUGGCGCACGGGUGCGUAACGCGUGGGAACCUGCCCUUAGGUUCGGAAUAACUCCCCGAAAGGGGUGCUAAUACCGGAUAAUGUCUUCGGACCAAAGAUUUAUCGCCUUUGGAUGGGCCCGCGUUGGAUUAGCUAGUUGGUAGGGUAAAAGCCUACCAAGGCGACGAUCCAUAGCUGGUCUGAGAGGAUGAUCAGCCACACUGGGACUGAGACACGGCCUAGACUCCUACGGGAGGCAGCAGUGGGGAAUAUUGGACAAUGGGCGAAAGCCUGAUCCAGCAAUGCCGCGUGAGUGAUGAAGGCCUUAGGGUUGUAAAGCUCUUUUACCCGGGAUGAUAAUGACAGUACCGGGAGAAUAAGCUCCGGCUAACUCCGUG
Molecule: ribosomal RNA, 432 nt
Filed under: uncultured bacterium
Lineage: Bacteria
Description: partial 16S ribosomal RNA
Rfam family: Bacterial small subunit ribosomal RNA
Source: RNAcentral